This 1481-nucleotide ribosomal RNA is filed under the name metagenome. RNAcentral describes it as "bacterial LSU rRNA". It matches the Rfam family "Bacterial large subunit ribosomal RNA", at positions 1460 to 2925 of the family's 2925-position model. The record is from RNAcentral.
AGCGCAGGAGUGACGCAGAAGGGUAGCCGGCCGCGGAGGUGGUCUUCCGUGGUCAAGCACGCAGGGCGUGGGACAGGCAAAUCCGUCCCGCAUGGGUCCGAGGUGCGAUGAUGGGGGCCUUAUGGCCCGAUAUCCGGUGAUCCCGGCUGCCGAGAAAAGCUUCGGCGUCAGGCUCAAAGCCGCCCGUACCCCAAACCGACACUGGUGGUCAGGUAGAGAAUACCAAAGCGAUCGAGCGAAUCCUGGUCAAGGAACUCGGCAAAUCACUCCCGUUCCUUCGGUUUAAGGGAGACCCCCGAUGGUGAACACACUUGCUGUGGGAGCUUUUGGGGGUGGCACAGACCAGGGGGUAGCGACUGUUUACCAAAAUCACAGGUGCAUGCGAAGGCGCAAGCCGCUGUAUAUGCACUGACGCCUGCCCGGUGCCGGAAGGUUAAGAGGAUCCGUCAGCCUUCGGGUGAAGCGGUGAAUUCAAGCCCCGGUAAACGGCGGUGGUAACAAUAACCAUCCUAAGGUAGCGAAAUUCCUUGUCGGGUAAGUUCCGACCUGCACGAAUGGCGUAACGACUUCCCCACUGUCUCGACCAGGAGCUCGGCGAAAUUGCAGUACGAGUAAAGAUGCUCGUUAAGCGCAGAAGGACGAAAAGACCCCGGGACCUUUACUAUACCUUGGUAUUGGCAUUCGGUGUGGAUUGUGUAGCAUAGGCGGGAGGCCGAGAGGCGCGGUCGCCAGAUCGCGCGGAGCCGUAAGGUGAAAUACCGCUCUGUUCGCAUUGGAUGUCUAACCUCGAACAGUCAUCCUGUUCAGGGACAGUGCCUGGCGGGUAGUUUAACUGGGGCGGUUGCCUCCCAAAGAGUAACGGAGGCGCCCAAAGGUCCGCUCGGCCCGGUUGGCAAUCGGGUGGCGAGUGCAAGUGCACAAGCGGGCUUGACUGCGAGGACGACGGUCCGAGCAGGGACGAAAGUCGGGACUAGUGAUCCGGUGCCGGUGUACGGACCCGGCAUCGCUCAACGGAUAAAAGGUACCCCGGGGAUAACAGGCUGAUCAUUCCCAAGAGUCCAUAUCGACGGGAUGGUUUGGCACCUCGAUGUCGGCUCGUCGCAUCCUGGGGCUGGAGCAGGUCCCAAGGGUUCGGCUGUUCGCCGAUUAAAGCGGCACGCGAGCUGGGUUCAGAACGUCGUGAGACAGUUUGGUCUCUAUCCUCUGCGCUCGUUGGAAUGCUGAGGAGGCCUGCCCAUAGUACGAGGGGACCUGGGUGGACGAACCUCUGGUAUGCCGGUUGUCACGCCAGUGGCACGGCCGGUUGGCUACGUUCGGAAGGGAUAACCGCUGAAAGCAUCUAAGCGGGAAGCCUGCUCCAAGAUAAGCAUUCCGUGGAACCUUCGAGUUCCUGUAGUCCCCAUGCAGAACACGUGGUCGAUAGGCCGGACGUGGAAGCCCCGCGAGGGGUGGAGCCGACCGGUACUAACGGACGAAAGGCU